UAAAGAAUUUCGGUAUGGGAUGGGGAUGCGUUCCAUUAGUUAGUUGGCGGGGUAACGGCCCACCAAGACAACGAUGGAUAGGGGUUCUGAGAGGAAGGUCCCCCACAUUGGAACUGAGACACGGUCCAAACUCCUACGGGAGGCAGCAGUGAGGAAUAUUGGUCAAUGGACGAGAGUCUGAACCAGCCAAGUAGCGUGAAGGAUGACUGCCCUAUGGGUUGUAAACUUCUUUUAUAUGGGAAUAAAAUGUUCCACGUGUGGGAUUUUGUAUGUACCAUAUGAAUAAGGAUCGGCUAACUCCGUGCCAGCAGCCGCGGUAAUACGGAGGAUCCGAGCGUUAUCCGGAUUUAUUGGGUUUAAAGGGAGCGUAGGUGGAUUGUUAAGUCAGUUGUGAAAGUUUGCGGCUCAACCGUAAAAUUGCAGUUGAAACUGGCAGUCUUGAGUACAGUAGAGGUGGGCGGAAUUCGUGGUGUAGCGGUGAAAUGCUUAGAUAUCACGAAGAACUCCGAUUGCGAAGGCAGCUCACUGGACUGCAACUGACACUGAGGCUCGAAAGUGUGGGUAUCAAACAGGAUUAGAUACCCUGGUAGUCCACACAGUAAACGAUGAAUACUCGCUGUUUGCGAUAUACAGUAG
RNAcentral lists this ribosomal RNA (636 nucleotides) under uncultured bacterium. Its description in RNAcentral is "bacterial SSU rRNA". It matches the Rfam family "Bacterial small subunit ribosomal RNA", at positions 202 to 839 of the family's 1533-position model. The record is from RNAcentral.